CAUGCAGUCGAGGGGUAGUUGUCUUCGGAUAUGAGACCGGCGCACGGGUGCGUAACGCGUAUACAAUCUACCUUUUACAGAGGGAUAGCCCAGAGAAAUUUGGAUUAAUACCUCAUAGUAUUUUUGAAUGGCAUCAUUUGAUUAUUAAAGUUCCAACGGUAAAAGAUGAGUAUGCGUCCCAUUAGCUAGAUGGUAAGGUAACGGCUUACCAUGGCAACGAUGGGUAGGGGUCCUGAGAGGGAGAUCCCCCACACUGGUACUGAGACACGGACCAGACUCCUACGGGAGGCAGCAGUGAGGAAUAUUGGACAAUGGGCGCAAGCCUGAUCCAGCCAUGCCGCGUGCAGGAAGAAGGUCCUAUGGAUUGUAAACUGCUUUUAUACAGGAAGAAACACACCCUCGUGAGGGUACUUGACGGUACUGUAUGAAUAAGGACCGGCUAACUCCGUGCCAGCAGCCGCGGUAAUACGGAGGGUCCAAGCGUUAUCCGGAAUCAUUGGGUUUAAAGGGUCCGUAGGCGGUUUAAUAAGUCAGUGGUGAAAGCCCAUCGCUCAACGAUGGAACGGCCAUUGAUACUGUUAAACUUGAAUUAUUAGGAAGUAACUAGAAUAUGUAGUGUAGCGGUGAAAUGCUUAGAGAUUACAUGGAAUACCAAUUGCGAAGGCAGGUUACUACUAAUAUAUUGACGCUGAUGGACGAAAGCGUGGGGAGCGAACAGGAUUAGAUACCCUGGUAGUCCACGCCGUANACGAUGGAUACUAGCUGUUCGGAGCAAUCUGAGUGGCUAAGCGAAAGUGAUAAGUAUCCCACCUGGGGAGUACGUUCGCAAGAAUGAAACUCAAAGGAAUUGACGGGGGCCCGCACAAAGCGUGGAGCAUG
This 879-nucleotide ribosomal RNA is filed under the name uncultured bacterium. Its description in RNAcentral is "bacterial SSU rRNA". It matches the Rfam family "Bacterial small subunit ribosomal RNA", at positions 54 to 941 of the family's 1533-position model. The record is from RNAcentral.